This 62-nucleotide transfer RNA is filed under the name Paramuricea clavata. It matches the Rfam family "tRNA", at positions 6 to 65 of the family's 71-position model. Rfam says of the family: Transfer RNA (tRNA) molecules are approximately 80 nucleotides in length. Their secondary structure includes four short double-helical elements and three loops (D, anti-codon, and T loops). The record is from Rfam by way of RNAcentral. Lineage: Eukaryota; Metazoa; Cnidaria; Anthozoa; Malacalcyonacea; Plexauridae.
CGUAGCUCAGUUGGAAGAGCAUUGGGCUAGUAUUCCAAAGGUCGUAGGUUCGAAUCCCACCG